AGGAAAAGCUGUAGACUUUAAGCAACAUAUGAUAUUAAAAAAAAAAAAAAAAAUUAAUUAUAUGCUGGUAGAUUUGGUCUAAUUUACAUGUUGAAUCUGCAUUUCCACCUCUCUCUAUAAAAUUGAAUUUCUGGGAUGCAAAAGAUAUAAAACUAGAGCAAUGGAUACCACCAGAAGGGCAAAGUUUAUGAUGGCGAUGCUAGUGGUCUUUCUAAUACUCGACUGCUUCCCGGCGGGUUAUGCAUCGGCCUCCUCUGCCACUCCAGAUUAAUAUUUCUAAUCAAUCGUAUACGUAAUCACAGAGAAAUCUCGUAUUAGACACGCAAUUUGGUUUUUGUUUCAGUUCAGUACCUCAAUUAAACAUUUAUUAGUUUUUCUCAGGGGCAAACCAGAAUUAUAGUUCAGUGGGGCGAGACACAAAAUGGGCUAAAAUAAAUUUUGAAAGAAAUCAAAAAAAUCUGAAAAUUUAAAUUUAACAAGGUCCAAUUAAAAGUUUUUGAAAAUUCAUUGGUGACGAUCAACCCCACUCGUCCCUUAAUGGGUCCGUCCCUGAUUUUUCUUCAGGAUGCCCGAGGUAGAAGAGAGCAUCGAAAUGAAAAAUCUUGUCAUAUAUUCUAUUUAGAAAAACCCAGGAAUUUUACUUGAAUGACUAAAAUAAAACCAUUGACAAACUUUAACGACAACUUUGCCAUGAAACUGGACUACAAUUGAGCGACUAACUGGGUUUUUUGUGCUUAGGGACAAGCCGGGAGCGUAGUUCAUCAUGGUGCUUGAGAAGCAAAUCUAGAAAAUUAGUUAUGGAUUGCCGGAGGCAUUUCGUUUUUCUAAAGACCAGCACUGCCUCCGAAAGCCUUAGAGUGGUUGUCAGUCCCCCGCCGGCACCAAGGCACAACCUACCACCGCCUCCCCAGUCUUGAAGUUUCCAAGUUUAGUCUCUUUCUUUUCCUAAGCAAAUUUUAUGCGCCAAAGAAUUUUUAUUGAUGUGUUGUGUAUUAAAAAACUAAAUUUCAUGAACAAAAAUAAAUAAAUAAUAAAAAUAUUGUGAUGAAGAAACAAGAGAGUGAAUUCAACUGCAAACCACCUUUUUAGGCCACUUUGAUGGAUAUCUUUAUGUAAUUUAAAAGCCUGUCAAGAGCCCUUCCACUAUCAAUGGCCUCUCUAGCUCUGUCCAUGGUUAUGGAGAUAUCUUCUGCACCAUCAUAUCGUAGCAAAUGAUCAACCAUUCCCGUAUAUAAAACAAUUCGAUCAUAUGCGGAACCAUUCUCCCCGCGUAGAUCUGCUAAUCCCAACUCUGUUUCCUCAUCACCUGAGAUAUUAGGGAAAUAAACAAAAGCGCUGUUUCUUUGUCAUGGUACUCGACUACUUAUAUAAAGAUAAAACUUCCGACAUGUGAGAAGUGAUUACUCUAUGUGCUAGAAACGUUUGGUCCAUGUUCGGUAUACAAUAGCUCGUAGGACUAAAGAGUUUAAUAAAUAAGAUUUUAACUUAUUUUUCUUCCUUGAUACUAAUAUUUAAUUUUCACUACUAAACAUACCUUUAAAGUCUCCCCCCUCCCUCUCCCAACCCCCCGCAAGGCAUAAAGAUAAAUAAUGACCAUGUGCAGGAGUGGAGUCAGCACUGGCGAGUCCCUUAAGCUGCCCAUGCUGCUCGACUCCCGUUCGAUCAGCUGUCCAUGCUUACCUAGAUUUACUAUUGACCAUGUGAUCAAAAUACAAGAUCAAAAUCAUGGGAAUUAUUUUGUCUUGAAACAAGACUAAGUAACUAGUAUAAAAACCAAAACUUGAAUACUCAAGAACAAGAGAGUUAAGAGACUUACAGAUCUAUCAGUUCUUGGAGCGUCAAUUGGCUCAAAGCCAUAAUCCUUGGCAAUUACAGCGAUACUCCUACUGAUGGAAAAAUAUUGUUCAAAAUCAAUAAAGAGGCGUGUGGAAUGAAAGUGAAGAAAUUGAGGCGUGUCUUCAUAUCGCGUGAGACAGUGCAAGGCCUCUAGCCCCUGCUUCCAAACAAGGAUUCUUCUAUGCGACCGCAUAGGAGGUUCAAUUAACCAUUGGUGGCGAUUUUUUGAUUCAAAUUUGGCGGCCUUUCACUUAUACUUUAGCACUACUUCGUAUAGCAAUGUUUCAUGGCUAUAAAUAGGUGGUUGAUGAUAUUUUUAACAUCAAGAAAAACACUUGAUUACAUUUGUGAUCAUAAUCUUCAUUCCUAAAAGAAGAAAUCAAAGUCUUCUUCAUCCAUAUUCAAUAUUCCCUUUGUCUUCUUAAGUUUUGGAGAAUUUAUACAAGUGCUUAAAUAUUAAUUCUCUAC
This 2304-nucleotide long non-coding RNA is filed under the name Olea europaea subsp. europaea. Lineage: Eukaryota; Viridiplantae; Streptophyta; Magnoliopsida; Lamiales; Oleaceae. The record is from RNAcentral.